UUAAGCGACUAAGCGUACACGGUGGAUGCCCUGGCAGUCAGAGGCGAUGAAGGACGUGCUAAUCUGCGAAAAGCGUCGGUAAGGUGAUAUGAACCGUUAUAGCCGGCGAUGUCCGAAUGGGGAAACCCAGUGCAAUUCGUUGCACUAUCGUUAACUGAAUACAUAGGUUAACGAGGCGAACCGGGGGAACUGAAACAUCUAAGUACCCCGAGGAAAAGAAAUCAACCGAGAUUCCCCCAGUAGCGGCGAGCGAACGGGGAGCAGCCCAGAGUCUGAAUCAGCUUGUGUGUUAGUGGAACGGUCUGGAAAGUCCGACGGUACAGGGUGAUAGUCCCGUACACCAAAAUGCACAGGCUGUGAACUCGAAGAGUAGGGCGGGACACGUGGUAUCCUGUCUGAAUAUGGGGGGACCAUCCUCCAAGGCUAAAUACUCCUGACUGACCGAUAGUGAACCAGUACCGUGAGGGAAAGGCGAAAAGAACCCCGGCGAGGGGAGUGAAAAAGAACCUGAAACCGUGUACGUACAAGCAGUGGGAGCACCUUCGGGUGUGACUGCGUACCUUUUGUAUAAUGGGUCAGCGACUUAUAUUCUGUAGCAAGGUUAACCGUAUAGGGGAGCCGCAGGAAACCGAGUCUUAACUGGGCGUUAAGUUGCAGGGUAUAGACCCGAAACCCGGUGAUUCAGCCAUGGGCAGGUUGAAGGUUGGGUAACACUAACUGGAGGACCGAACCGACUAAUGUUGAAAAAUUAGCGGAUGACUUGUGGCUGGGGGUGAAAGGCCAAUCAAACCGGGAGAUAGCUGGUUCUCCCCGAAAGCUAUUUAGGUAGCGCCUCGUGAACUCAUCUUCGGGGGGUAGAGCACUGUUUCGGCUAGGGGGUCAUCCCGACUUACCAACCCGAUGCAAACUACGAAUACCGAAGAAUGUUAUCACGGGAGACACACGGCGGGUGCUAACGUCCGUCGUGAAGAGGGAAACAACCCAGACCGCCAGCUAAGGUCCCAAAGUCAUGGUUAAGUGGGAAACGAUGUGGGAAGGCACAGACAGCCAGGAUGUUGGCUUAGAAGCAGCCAUCAUUUAAAGAAAGCGUAAUAGCUCACUGGUCGAGUCGGCCUGCGCGGAAGAUGUAACGGGGCUAAACCAUGCACCGAAGCUGCGGCAGCGACACUAUGUGUUGUUGGGUAGGGGAGCGUUCUGUAAGCCUGCGAAGGUGUGCUGUGAGGCAUGCUGGAGGUAUCAGAAGUGCGAAUGCUGACAUAAGUAACGAUAAAGCGGGUGAAAAGCCCGCUCGCCGGAAGACCAAGGGUUCCUGUCCAACGUUAAUCGGGGCAGGGUGAGUCGACCCCUAAGGCGAGGCCGAAAGGCGUAGUCGAUGGGAAACAGGUUAAUAUUCCUGUACUUGGUGUUACUGCGAAGGGGGGACGGAGAAGGCUAUGUUAGCCGGGCGACGGUUGUCCCGGUUUAAGCAUGUAGGCUGGUUAUCCAGGCAAAUCCGGAUAAUCAAGGCUGAGGUGUGAUGACGAGGCACUACGGUGCUGAAGUAACAAAUGCCCUGCUUCCAGGAAAAGCCUCUAAGCAUCAGGUAACAUCAAAUCGUACCCCAAACCGACACAGGUGGUCAGGUAGAGAAUACCAAGGCGCUUGAGAGAACUCGGGUGAAGGAACUAGGCAAAAUGGUGCCGUAACUUCGGGAGAAGGCACGCUGGUGUGUAGGUGAAGCCCCUGCGGGUGGAGCUGAGACCAGUCGAAGAUACCAGCUGGCUGCAACUGUUUAUUAAAAACACAGCACUGUGCAAACACGAAAGUGGACGUAUACGGUGUGACGCCUGCCCGGUGCCGGAAGGUUAAUUGAUGGGGUUAUCCGUAAGGAGAAGCUCUUGAUCGAAGCCCCGGUAAACGGCGGCCGUAACUAUAACGGUCCUAAGGUAGCGAAAUUCCUUGUCGGGUAAGUUCCGACCUGCACGAAUGGCGUAAUGAUGGCCAGGCUGUCUCCACCCGAGACUCAGUGAAAUUGAACUCGCUGUGAAGAUGCAGUGUACCCGCGGCAAGACGGAAAGACCCCGUGAACCUUUACUAUAGCUUGACACUGAACAUUGAGCCUUGAUGUGUAGGAUAGGUGGGAGGCUUUGAAGCGUGGACGCCAGUCUGCGUGGAGCCAACCUUGAAAUACCACCCUUUAAUGUUUGAUGUUCUAACGUUGGCCCCUUAUCGGGGUUGCGGACAGUGUCUGGUGGGUAGUUUGACUGGGGCGGUCUCCUCCCAAAGCGUAACGGAGGAGCACGAAGGUUAGCUAAUCCUGGUCGGACAUCAGGAGGUUAGUGCAAUGGCAUAAGCUAGCUUGACUGCGAGCGUGACGGCGCGAGCAGGUGCGAAAGCAGGUCAUAGUGAUCCGGUGGUUCUGAAUGGAAGGGCCAUCGCUCAACGGAUAAAAGGUACUCCGGGGAUAACAGGCUGAUACCGCCCAAGAGUUCAUAUCGACGGCGGUGUUUGGCACCUCGAUGUCGGCUCAUCACAUCCUGUGGGGCUGAAGUAGGUCCCAAGGGUAUGGCUGUUCGCCAUUUAAAGUGGUACGCGAGCUGGGUUUAGAACGUCGUGAGACAGUUCGGUCCCUAUCUGCCGUGGGCGCUGGAGAAUUGAGGGGGGCUGCUCCUAGUACGAGAGGACCGGAGUGGACGCAUCACUGGUGUUCGGGUUGUCAUGCCAAUGGCACUGCCCGGUAGCUAAAUGCGGAAGAGAUAAGUGCUGAAAGCAUCUAAGCACGAAACUUGCCCCGAGAUGAGUUCUCCCUGAGACUUUAAGUCUCCUGAAGGAACGUUAAAGACGAUGACGUUGAUAGGCCGGGUGUGUAAGCGCAGCGAUGCGUUGAGCUAACCGGUACUAAUGAACCGUGAGGCUUAACCU
RNAcentral lists this ribosomal RNA (2901 nucleotides) under Klebsiella pneumoniae. Its description in RNAcentral is "bacterial LSU rRNA". It matches the Rfam family "Bacterial large subunit ribosomal RNA". The record is from RNAcentral. Lineage: Bacteria; Pseudomonadati; Pseudomonadota; Gammaproteobacteria; Enterobacterales; Enterobacteriaceae.